CAUACAUGGAAGGAUGAUUGAAUCAGGCUACUUUACAUGGUCAUUAUCUCACACACUUGACCUUUCUGUAUGGGUAGGAUAUUUAAUAUCUUCCUUUUUAGCAAUUUUGAAAUAUGCAAAGUAUUAUUGUUAACUAAAAAUACCAUGUUCAGCAGGAGAUGAUUAGAACUCAUUCCUCCUGUCUACAUAAAACUUUGUACCCUUUAAGCAACUUCUUCUCUUUCCCCAACCACUCACACUGUCACCCCCCUUCCCAAGUUCUGGCAAUCAUUACUUUUCUCUUAUAUUACAUAUAAAAGUGGUAUCAUGUGGUCUUUAUCUUGCUGUGCCUGACUUAUUUCUCUUAAUUUCCCCUGGUUUUCCUUGGUUUAAUCGUGAGAUCAUAGUAAAAACUCACAAGAGUGUUAAAAUAUGCUCUGGCUAAUGCAAGUGUUGCAGUAUGUGAAUAGGAAGCAUGCAUUAUUUAUAAAAACUAAGGAAACUCUCUGUAAUAGGGGUUUGGUGUUCAUGGGACUACAAAGAAGUAGGGUGAUGAGAAGCAGGUCAGAGAAGGCAUGCCUGAUAGGGAGGGAAGUGGAGCAUAUCCCAAAGAGGAGAGCACAGCCACAGACAGAUAGAUGGAUCUUCUUCAAAUAGGAACAAAGCAGAGCUUGUACAUAGGUGGCUCAGAGACAAAUCCUCUAGCAGCUGGGUUGGUGUCAAGGUCCUUUGGGUCAACCACAGAUUUCAGGCAAAAGUUCUGUAAAAUGGUGGUCAGGAAUAAAAACAGUUUCAUCCGGGCCAGGCCCUCUCCCACACAUAUCUG
RNAcentral lists this long non-coding RNA (805 nucleotides) under Marmota monax (woodchuck). Lineage: Eukaryota; Metazoa; Chordata; Mammalia; Rodentia; Sciuridae. The record is from RNAcentral.